UUUUCAUCUGAGUACUUGGCAACAAUGUUUCCGCGUGUUAUCAAAACAUGGAGCCUGGAGGUAGUACGAGAAUGUUCAGCAGCUCUGUCUGAAACCCAACGCAUGGCAUUUUUGAGCAAAGGCCAAUCAUUGAGGACAGGUCUAUAAGCAACACCAUAAAUGAUACGAAAAGAAAGGCCUGGGAUGAAAUUACUGCUUCAUUCAAUGCCAGCUACCCAGACCAAAUCCCUCGCUCAGUCAAGCAGCUCAAGAGAAGUUACGAACACAAAAAACGGAAAACUAAAAGCAGAGAUAUACAGCAAAGAAAAAUGCUAACAAGGACAGGUGGUGGUCAAUUAGACAAAAUAUCGGAAGUUUCAGAAGAAAUCGCCUUAACAGCAUCAAUGACGAGGGCUGAAUUGUCAAUGGCUGAUGACAUUUAUGAGACCUUCUGCAUUCAACUAGUAGAUGAAGCAAAAUAAUACCCUAUUAAAUGUGCAGCUAGUAUUUGCCGAGGUGCUCGUGGCAUGCAGAAGACUUCUGCAAGUGUACCUUCUGCUUCACUUACUCAGUCCUAUGAUCCACUUGUUUUACCUGGUCCAACCCCAGGGCCAUCAUCUGUGUCUUCUGCACAAUUUACUGCCAAGGAGCACACCAAGGCGAACUAGGGGGGUGACAAGUGUGUAUGAAAUGUGUGAUAAAAGACAAGAAGAGUUACAUAAAUAUAAUUUGUACAGAUUGAAAAGGGAGCAUGUUGAGGAAAUGAAACUGAAAAAAGAAAUGUCAACACAAAAACUACAACAAAAAUUAAGUGAAACUGCAAUUGCAUCGAUUGAAAAGACAUGAAAAAUUGACUAAUUCUUUGGAUUUGUUAGAUAGUGUUUUAAGGAAAGCAGGAGCUUCAUAUGAUGCCAUGGCUAAAACAUAUGAAUGAUGAUGUAAUAUUUCAGAAAUUGGCAUCUAAAGUAAAAGUUAAUCUUUCUAUUUCUUACAUAUUCAACUAAUUUUAUUUGAAGGAAAUAAACAUACAUGUGUUUAUUUUGACAAAGGUUUUUUUGUUUACAAAAGCUGUCAUAAGUAUGGCAGGUAAUUAUUUGUGGUUGGUGAAUAUUUAUAAUAUACAUGAAGGCUAUGAUUUUCAAAAAUUGAAUUUAUUUUCUGUGAUAAAGAAUAAAGUUUUGUUUGGUGUAUACAGGUAUUUAUAAAAUAUGUUAUUCUGUGCAAAGUACUGUAUAGAGGAUAUGUUUCUUUUAUUAAAUUUUAUGCAUUGAUAUAAAUA
Homarus americanus (American lobster) is the source of this 1258-nucleotide long non-coding RNA. RefSeq lists it as uncharacterized. Lineage: Eukaryota; Metazoa; Arthropoda; Malacostraca; Decapoda; Nephropidae. The record is from RefSeq and is a predicted model, not a curated record. The transcript has 3 exons.